GCGUGAGUGAUGACGGCCCUAGGGUUGUAAAGCUCUUUCACCGGUGAAGAUAAUGACGGUAACCGGAGAAGAAGCCCCGGCUAACUCCGUGCCAGCAGCCGCGGUAAUACGGAGGGGGCUAGCGUUGUUCAGAAUUACUGGGCGUAAAGCGCGCGUAGGCGGUUUGAUAAGUUAGGCGUGAAAGCCCGAAGCUCAACUUCGGAAUUGCGCUUAAAACUGUCAGGCUAGAGUCCGGAAGAGGUGAGUGGAAUUCCCAGUGUAGAGGUGAAAUUCGU
This 275-nucleotide ribosomal RNA is filed under the name uncultured bacterium. RNAcentral describes it as "partial 16S ribosomal RNA". It matches the Rfam family "Bacterial small subunit ribosomal RNA", at positions 399 to 691 of the family's 1533-position model. The record is from RNAcentral.